This 252-nucleotide ribosomal RNA is filed under the name uncultured bacterium. Its description in RNAcentral is "partial 16S ribosomal RNA". It matches the Rfam family "Bacterial small subunit ribosomal RNA", at positions 524 to 776 of the family's 1533-position model. The record is from RNAcentral.
UACGUAGGUCCCGAGCGUUGUCCGGAUUUAUUGGGCGUAAAGCGAGCGCAGGUGGUUUAUUAAGUCUGGUGUAAAAGGCAGUGGCUCAACCAUUGUAUGCAUUGGAAACUGGUAGACUUGAGUGCAGGAGAGGAGAGUGGAAUUCCAUGUGUAGCGGUGAAAUGCAUAGAUAUCACGCAGAACCCCGAUUGCGAAGGCAGCCUUCCGGCGCCCUACUGACGCUGAGGCACGAAAGUGCGGGGAUCGAACAGG